UACGGAGGGGGCUAGCGUUGUUCGGAAUUACUGGGCGUAAAGCGCGCGUAGGCGGACCUGCAAGUCGGGGGUGAAAGCCCGAGGCUCAACCUCGGAACUGCCUUCGAUACUGGCGAUCUUGAGUCCGGGAGAGGUGAGUGGAACUCCGAGUGUAGAGGUGAAAUUCGUAGAUAUUCGGAAGAACACCAGUGGCGAAGGCGGCUCACUGGCCCGGUACUGACGCUGAGGUGCGAAAGCGUGGGGAGCAAACAGG
This 253-nucleotide ribosomal RNA is filed under the name uncultured bacterium. RNAcentral describes it as "partial 16S ribosomal RNA". It matches the Rfam family "Bacterial small subunit ribosomal RNA", at positions 524 to 776 of the family's 1533-position model. The record is from RNAcentral.